RNAcentral lists this unclassified non-coding RNA (520 nucleotides) under uncultured Glomus. RNAcentral describes it as "SSU rRNA". It matches the Rfam family "Eukaryotic small subunit ribosomal RNA", at positions 569 to 1087 of the family's 1831-position model. The record is from RNAcentral. Lineage: Eukaryota; Fungi; Glomeromycota; Glomeromycetes; Glomerales; Glomeraceae.
AGCAGCCGCGGUAAUUCCAGCUCCAAUAGCGUAUAUUAAAGUUGUUGCAGUUAAAAAGCUCGUAGUUGAAUUUCGGGGUUAGCAGGUCGGUCGUGCCAUCGGUAUGAACUGGUCUCGCUGAUCCCUCCCUCUUGACGAACUGUGAUGCCAUUAAUUUGGUGUCGCAGGGAAUCAGGACUGUUACUUUGAAAAAAUUAGAGUGUUUAAAGCAGGCUCACGCUUGAAUACAUUAGCAUGGAAUAAUGAAAUAGGACGUUUGAUCCUAUUUUGUUGGCUUCUAGGAUUGACGUAAUGAUUAAUAGGGAUAGUUGGGGGCAUUAGUAUUCAAUUGUCAGAGGUGAAAUUCUUGGAUUUAUUGAAGACUAACUACUGCGAAAGCAUUUUGCCAAGGAUGUUUUCAUUAAUCAAGAACGAAAGUUAGGGGAUCGAAGACGAUCAGAUACCGUCGUAGUCUUAACCAUAAACUAUGCCGACUAGGGAUCGGAUGAUGUUAAUUUUUUUCAAUGACUCAUUCGGCGCC